Molecule: ribosomal RNA, 386 nt
Filed under: uncultured soil bacterium
Lineage: Bacteria
Description: bacterial SSU rRNA
Rfam family: Bacterial small subunit ribosomal RNA
Source: RNAcentral
AGGACGAACGCUGGCGGCGUGCUUAACACAUGCAAGUCGAGCGGUAAGGCCUUUCGGGGUACACGAGCGGCGAACGGGUGAGUAACACGUGGGUGAUCUGCCCUGCACUUCGGGAUAAGCCUGGGAAACUGGGUCUAAUACCGGAUAUGACCUCCUAUCGCAUGGUGGGUGGUGGAAAGAUUUAUCGGGUGCAGGAUGGGCCCGCGGCCUAUCAGCUUGUUGGUGGGUAAUGGCCUACAAGGCGACGACGGGUAGCCGACUGAGAGGGUGACCGGCCACACUGGGACUGACGACACGGCCCAGACUCCUACGGGAGCAGCAGUGGGAAUAUUGCACAAGUGGGCGAAAGCCUAGAUGCAGCGACGCCGCGUGAGGAUGGACGGUCC